Molecule: ribosomal RNA, 482 nt
Filed under: uncultured bacterium
Lineage: Bacteria
Description: partial 16S ribosomal RNA
Rfam family: Bacterial small subunit ribosomal RNA
Source: RNAcentral
AUUGAACGCUGGCGGCAUGCCUUACACAUGCAAGUCGAACGGUAACGGGCCUUCGGGUGCCGACGAGUGGCGAACGGGUGAGUAAUACACCGGAACGUGCCCGAUCGUGGGGGAUAACGAGGCGAAAGCUUUGCUAAUAUCGCAUACGAUCUACGGAUGAGAGCAGGGGACCGCAAGGCCUUGCGCGGACGGAGCGGCCGAUGGCGGAUUAGGUAGUUGGUGGGAUAAAAGCUUACCAAGCCGACGAUCUGUAGCUGGUCUGAGAGGAUGAUCAGCCACACUGGAACUGAGACACGGCCCAGACUCCUACGGGAGGCAGCAGUGGGGAAUUUUGGACAAUGGGCGCAAGCCUGAUCCAGCCAUGCCGCGUGCAGGAUGAAGGCCUUCGGGUUGUAAACUGCUUUUGUACGGAACGAAAAGCCUUCUUUUAAUACAGGAGGGUCAUGACGGUACCGUAAGAAUAAGCACCGGCUAACUACGUG